Molecule: ribosomal RNA, 654 nt
Filed under: Salmonella enterica subsp. enterica serovar Sandiego
Lineage: Bacteria; Pseudomonadati; Pseudomonadota; Gammaproteobacteria; Enterobacterales; Enterobacteriaceae
Description: partial 23S ribosomal RNA
Rfam family: Bacterial large subunit ribosomal RNA
Source: RNAcentral
GGGUUGUGAGGUUAAGCGACUAAGCGUACACGGUGGAUGCCCUGGCAGUCAGAGGCGAUGAAGGGCGUGCUAAUCUGCGAUAAGCGCCGGUAAGGUGAUAUGAACCGUUAUAACCGGCGAUACCCGAAUGGGGAAACCCAGUGUGACUCGUCACACUAUCAUUAACUGAAUCCAUAGGUUAAUGAGGCGAACCGGGGGAACUGAAACAUCUAAGUACCUCGAGGAAAAGAAAUCAACCGAGAUUCCCCCAGUAGCGGCGAGCGAACGGGGAGGAGCCCAGAGCCUGAAUCAGCAUGUGUGUUAGUGGAAGCGUCUGGAAAGGCGCGCGAUACAGGGUGACAGCCCCGUACACAAAAGCGCACAUGCUGUGAGCUCGAUGAGUAGGGCGGGACACGUGGUAUCCUGUCUGAAUAUGGGGGGACCAUCCUCCAAGGCUAAAUACUCCUGACUGACCGAUAGUGAACCAGUACCGUGAGGGAAAGGCGAAAAGAACCCCGGCGAGGGGAGUGAAAAAGAACCUGAAACCGUGUACGUACAAGCAGUGGGAGCACCCUUUGGGGUGUGACUGCGUACCUUUUGUAUAAUGGGUCAGCGACUUAUAUUCUGUAGCAAGGUUAACCGAAUAGGGGAGCCGGAGGGAAACCGAGUCUUAAC